This 1430-nucleotide ribosomal RNA is filed under the name uncultured organism. RNAcentral describes it as "SSU rRNA". It matches the Rfam family "Bacterial small subunit ribosomal RNA". The record is from RNAcentral.
GCUUAACACAUGCAAGUCGAACGAUGAAGCCCAGCUUGCUGGGUGGAUUAGUGGCGAACGGGUGAGUAACACGUGAGUAACCUGCCCUUGACUCUGGGAUAAGCGCUGGAAACGGCGUCUAAUACCGGAUACGACCUACCCCGGCAUCGGGUGUGGGUGGAAAGUUUUUCGGUCAAGGAUGGACUCGCGGCCUAUCAGCUUGUUGGUGAGGUAAUGGCUCACCAAGGCGACGACGGGUAGCCGGCCUGAGAGGGUGACCGGCCACACUGGGACUGAGACACGGCCCAGACUCCUACGGGAGGCAGCAGUGGGGAAUAUUGCACAAUGGGCGAAAGCCUGAUGCAGCAACGCCGCGUGAGGGAUGACGGCCUUCGGGUUGUAAACCUCUUUUAGUAGGGAAGAAGGGCUUCGGCUUGACGGUACCUGCAGAAAAAGCACCGGCUAACUACGUGCCAGCAGCCGCGGUAAUACGUAGGGUGCAAGCGUUGUCCGGAAUUAUUGGGCGUAAAGAGCUCGUAGGCGGUUUGUCGCGUCUGCUGUGAAAACCCGAGGCUCAACCUCGGGCCUGCAGUGGGUACGGGCAGACUAGAGUGCGGUAGGGGAGAAUGGAAUUCCUGGUGUAGCGGUGGAAUGCGCAGAUAUCAGGAGGAACACCGAUGGCGAAGGCAGUUCUCUGGGCCGUAACUGACGCUGAGGAGCGAAAGCGUGGGGAGCGAACAGGAUUAGAUACCCUGGUAGUCCACGCCGUAAACGUUGGGCGCUAGAUGUGGGGACCUUUCCACGGUUUCCGUGUCGCAGCUAACGCAUUAAGCGCCCCGCCUGGGGAGUACGGCCGCAAGGCUAAAACUCAAAGGAAUUGACGGGGGCCCGCACAAGCGGCGGAGCAUGCGGAUUAAUUCGAUGCAACGCGAAGAACCUUACCAAGGCUUGACAUAUACGAGAACGGGCCAGAAAUGGUCAACUCUUUGGACACUCGUAAACAGGUGGUGCAUGGUUGUCGUCAGCUCGUGUCGUGAGAUGUUGGGUUAAGUCCCGCAACGAGCGCAACCCUCGUUCUAUGUUGCCAGCACGUUAUGGUGGGAACUCAUAGGAGACUGCCGGGGUCAACUCGGAGGAAGGUGGGGAUGACGUCAAAUCAUCAUGCCCCUUAUGUCUUGGGCUUCACGCAUGCUACAAUGGCCGGUACAAAGGGCUGCGAUACCGUAAGGUGGAGCGAAUCCCAAAAAGCCGGUCUCAGUUCGGAUUGAGGUCUGCAACUCGACCUCAUGAAGUCGGAGUCGCUAGUAAUCGCAGAUCAGCAACGCUGCGGUGAAUACGUUCCCGGGCCUUGUACACACCGCCCGUCAAGUCAUGAAAGUCGGUAACACCCGAAGCCGGUGGCCUAACCAUUGUGGAGGGAGCCGUCGAAGGUGGGAUCGGUGAUUAGGACG